RNAcentral lists this ribosomal RNA (500 nucleotides) under uncultured bacterium. Its description in RNAcentral is "partial 16S ribosomal RNA". It matches the Rfam family "Bacterial small subunit ribosomal RNA", at positions 30 to 523 of the family's 1533-position model. The record is from RNAcentral.
AUUGAACGCUGGCGGCAGGCCUAACACAUGCAAGUCGAGCGGUUGACGGGAGCUUGCUCCCUGAUUCAGCGGCGGACGGGUGAGUAAUGCCUAGGAAUCUGCCUAUUAGUGGGGGACAACGUUUCGAAAGGAACGCUAAUACCGCAUACGUCCUACGGGAGAAAGCAGGGGACCUUCGGGCCUUGCGCUAAUAGAUGAGCCUAGGUCGGAUUAGCUUGUUGGUGAGGUAAUGGCUCACCAAGGCGACGAUCCGUAACUGGUCUGAGAGGAUGAUCAGUCACACUGGAACUGAGACACGGUCCAGACUCCUACGGGAGGCAGCAGUGGGGAAUAUUGGACAAUGGGCGAAAGCCUGAUCCAGCCAUGCCGCGUGUGUGAAGAAGGUCUUCGGAUUGUAAAGCACUUUAAGUUGGGAGGAAGGGUUGUAGAUUAAUACUCUGCAAUUUUGACGUUACCGACAGAAUAAGCACCGGCUAACUCUGUGCCAGCAGCCGCAGUAA